AACGAACGCUGGCGGCAGGCCUAACACAUGCAAGUCGAGCGCCUCGCCAGAGGAGCGGCUGACCUGUGAUUAACGCGUGGCAACUUACUCUUAUCUUCGUAAUAUCCCUGUGAGACUGGGAUUAAUACCGAAUGUGCCCUCAGGUGGCAAGAUUUAUCGGAUACGGAUCGGCUCGCGUUUGAUUAGCUAGUUGGUGGGGUAAAGGCCUACCAAGGCGACGAUCCAUAGCUGGUAUGAGAGGAUGAUCAUCCACAUUAGGACAGAGACAAGGACCAAACUCCUACGGGAGGGAGCAGUGGGGAAGAAUGGACAAUGGGCGAAAGACGGAGCCAGCCAUGCCGCGUGAGUGAGGAAGGAGUGAGGGUUGUAAAGCUAAUUAACCGGAGAAGAUAAUAAGGGUAUCAGGAGAAGAAGCCCGGGCUAACUUCGU
This 430-nucleotide ribosomal RNA is filed under the name uncultured bacterium. RNAcentral describes it as "partial 16S ribosomal RNA". It matches the Rfam family "Bacterial small subunit ribosomal RNA", at positions 29 to 506 of the family's 1533-position model. The record is from RNAcentral.